RNAcentral lists this small nucleolar RNA (76 nucleotides) under Pogona vitticeps (central bearded dragon). Its description in RNAcentral is "Small nucleolar RNA SNORD53/SNORD92 (ENSPVIG00000025551.1)". It matches the Rfam family "Small nucleolar RNA SNORD53/SNORD92". From Rfam's summary of the family: U53 is a member of the C/D class of snoRNA which contain the C (UGAUGA) and D (CUGA) box motifs. Most of the members of the box C/D family function in directing site-specific 2'-O-methylation of substrate RNAs. The record is from Rfam by way of RNAcentral. Lineage: Eukaryota; Metazoa; Chordata; Lepidosauria; Squamata; Agamidae.
CUGCUAUGAUGAUAUCCAUGUGGUUUCUCACUUCUGAUAAGUAGUGAGGACAAUUUUCUCUUGGCUGUCUGAGCAG